Molecule: ribosomal RNA, 386 nt
Filed under: uncultured bacterium
Lineage: Bacteria
Description: bacterial SSU rRNA
Rfam family: Archaeal small subunit ribosomal RNA
Source: RNAcentral
GCGCGAAAACUUUACAAUGCUGGCAACAGCGAUAAGGGAACCUCGAGUGCCAGGUUACAAAUCUGGCUGUCGAGAUGCCUAAAAAGCAUUUCAUAGCAAGGGCCGGGCAAGACCGGUGCCAGCCGCCGCGGUAACACCGGCGGCUCGAGUGGUAACCGUUAUUAUUGGGUCUAAAGGGUCUGUAGCCGGCCGGAUAAGUCUCUUGAGAAAUCUGGCAGCUUAACUGUCAGGCUUUCAGGAGAUACUGUCUGGCUCGAGGCCGGGAGAGGUGAGAGGUACUUCAGGGGUAGGGGUGAAAUCUUGUAAUCCUUGAAGGACCACCAGUAGCGAAGGCGUCUCACCAGAACGGACCUGACGGCAAGGGACGAAAGCUAGGGGCACGAACC